UCUCCACGACCAGAAAACUCCCCUGACCCAGUCACGCCAAAUCGUGGCUAAGGCAAGAGGGUUUUCGACUAUAGAUACCAUCACAAGAAAACCUGAAAAGGGGCUCUUCUCCUCAAGUACUCUGACAGAUCGACAAAAUGAAUAGAAUUCCACUUUUUAAGAAAAGAGAGAAAAGAGUUCUUUGCCUAUCGAAGCAAAAGGGGAGCUCCACCUCUGUAUAUGAAAGGAAGGCGAAACAAUUGUAAUUCUCCUUCCCCCUCUAAAGAGGAAGAAGGCGAAACUCUAUUAUAAAUAAGAUCUUUUGACAUUUUAUGCAUUCUAUAUAUGCAAUUGCAAUUGUUUUAUCUUCCGAUCUGGUAUUAAUUAAGAUUGAUUAUGAUUU
Molecule: long non-coding RNA, 382 nt
Filed under: Nicotiana benthamiana
Lineage: Eukaryota; Viridiplantae; Streptophyta; Magnoliopsida; Solanales; Solanaceae
Description: long non-coding RNA (NBEN_LNC014367)
Source: RNAcentral